UGGGGAAUUUUGCACAAUGGAGGAAACUCUGAUGCAGCGACGCCGCGUGAGUGAUGAAGAUCUUCGGAUUGUAAAACUCUGUCCUUAGUGAAGAUAAUGACAGUAACUAAGAAGCAAGCCCUGGCUAAAUACGUGCCAGCAGCCGCGGUAAUACGUAUGGGGCAAGCGUUGUCCGGAAUUAUUGGGCGUAAAGGGUACGUAGGCGGUUUAAUAAGUCCUAAUUAAAAGGCUAUGGCUCAACCAUAGUAUGGUUAGGAAACUGUUGAACUUGAGUAGAUGAGGGGAAAGUGGAAUUCCAUGUGUAGCGGGGAAAUGCGUAGAUAUAUGGAGGAACACCAAUGGCGAAGGCAACUUUCUGGAAUCAAACUGACGCUGAGGUACGAAGGCGUGGGGAGCAAACAGG
Molecule: ribosomal RNA, 403 nt
Filed under: Fusobacteriota bacterium
Lineage: Bacteria; Fusobacteriati; Fusobacteriota
Description: Fusobacteria bacterium partial 16S ribosomal RNA
Rfam family: Bacterial small subunit ribosomal RNA
Source: RNAcentral